UGUAUCCGUCGACGUUGGCGCCGUACUUGUCAACGAACUGGUACACGCCCUUGCCCUGCAUCCACCCAAAAAAAAAAUGAAAAUUUUCAGUUUAUGCGCCAUGAAGAAUCACCAAAUUUCCACUGAAAUCUUCCGGUGAAUUCAGUGACUAGAUUCUUGUGCUCCAAACGGUUUCGAGUCAGAAAGAAAUUAAGCGGAAGAGGCCCUCCUCACCUUGACCUUCCUCCCGGAGGCAUCGACGUCGACGGUCAGGCCACCCCCAAUCCCGAAGGGCUUGUCGGUCUUGAUCUUCUUGCCGGUGCCGCAGACGACGGCGAAGGAGGAGGCGCGGCGGCCGAGGGACGGCAGGCCCUGGGCCCUGGCCGGCGCCGCCAGAGUCGACGAGGAGAUCAUGGAGGCUGCCAUUGCUGCUGUAGCUGUAGCUGUAGCUGCUUCGGUUCACUCGCUCUUGCUGCUAUGCCUGCCGGAUGCAGAGCCUCCAGGAAGCUACACGGAGCCAAUAUACUUGUGGCGCCAAAACCUGUGGAUAAUGCCAGGAGGACAGGUGCGACCGCCGUGGCGCCACGUGGCGGGGCACGGUUGGCC
Molecule: long non-coding RNA, 585 nt
Filed under: Setaria viridis
Lineage: Eukaryota; Viridiplantae; Streptophyta; Magnoliopsida; Poales; Poaceae
Description: long non-coding RNA (SVIR_LNC006281)
Source: RNAcentral